GAUGAAGAACGCAGCGAAAUGCGAUACGUAAUGUGAAUUGCAAAUUCAGUGAAUCAUCGAGUCUUUGAACGCACAUUGCGCCCCCUGGUAUUCCGGGGGGCAUGCCUGUCCGAGCGUCAUUGCUGCCCUCAAGCACGGCUUGUGUGUUGGGCCCCGUCCUCCGAUCCCGGGGGACGGGCCCGAAAGGCAGCGGCGGCACCGCGUCCGGUCCUCGAGCGUAUGGGGCUUUGUCACCCGCUCUGUAGGCCCGGCCGGCGCUUGCCGAUCAACCCAAAUUUUUAUCCAGGUUGACCUCGGAUCAAGUAGGGAUACCCGCUGAACUUAAGCAUAUCAAUAAGCGGAGGA
RNAcentral lists this unclassified non-coding RNA (345 nucleotides) under soil metagenome. RNAcentral's name for it is "partial contains 5.8S ribosomal RNA, internal transcribed spacer 2, and large subunit ribosomal RNA". The stretch from base 1 to 119 matches the Rfam family "5.8S ribosomal RNA", at positions 35 to 154 of the family's 154-position model. The record is from RNAcentral.